RNAcentral lists this long non-coding RNA (2218 nucleotides) under Oryza sativa (Asian cultivated rice). Its description in RNAcentral is "long non-coding RNA (OSAT_LNC000094)". The record is from RNAcentral. Lineage: Eukaryota; Viridiplantae; Streptophyta; Magnoliopsida; Poales; Poaceae.
AGGAUCAUGCAGAUGUAUGUGUGUAUGACCAAGAGCCUUGAACGGCAUGAUGGACGUGGGGAGCAUAUAUACAACACCUUUAUUAUUAGGAAUGGUGUUGGUUUAAUUAAGAUGUACGAACUUCGAAGAUUGUUUUUGUGGUGGCUUGUCGCUGGUUGAUGUAAACUAAUACCCAAUGUGAUGUCUAUUCUACGUGGCCCGCGGCUAAUGCACACAUGUCCUCAACUACUAAUAUAUCCAGGUUAGUUUCUGGCCUCUCUUUGCUUUGAUUCAAUGGAAGAUGAAAAAAAAUAAACUUUUGUUAUUGUAGCAGAUCUCAUUGCCUCAAGUGCCAUGAUCUUGAUGGGUCCUGGACCUAGUAGGCAAGUACUAGCAUAAUUAGCGUUCUUGUGUAAGAUUUCCCAGGUUAAUGAUAAACAUUAUAGUAGUAGUUGUUGUAACAGCAUUCUGCAUGAAUGCAUGGUCAUGUUGCAGUAUUGUGACGACUGCCUAAAUUUCUGUACCAUGCAGGUGCGACUAAAUCUGAGAUCUUUUGAACAGAUCUUGGUGUGUGCUGUGGGAAUGCGUAAAGGAGAGGUGCAGAUGAUCUCAAGAUUGGAGCUUUUUUUUUUUCUUCUGUUUUGGCGCACUGAAGAAAGACUGACUGACGUGAUAGAGAAGGGCAGGGGAGGAGAUGAUGGCAGAGAAAAACUGGUAUGUUUUCAGAUGCCUUUUUACCCUCGCAGUCGCAGGGCCGGCCUGCAUUGCUGUCAUGUUACUACUACUCUCUGUCAGGGUUAAAGAGUACACUCUCCUAUAGGAGUGAAGGGGGGAGACAAAGUGGAAGCAAGGCCCUCCUGAUUACCACGAGAAAGAGAAAGUGAGAGUUUGAUACUAGGCCCUAAAAAGGAUGAACACACACAGGUUACAAUGGUGUGAUCAGGUGAGGAUUUUCCCCUCAUACGGCGGACUACUCUCUUCGUUUCAUAUUAUAAGAUGUUUGAUUUUUUUUCUUGGUCAAAAUUUUAUAGAUUUAACCAAAUUUAUAAAAAAAAUUAGCAAUACCUACAAUACCAAAUUAGUCUCAUAAAAUUCAACAUCGAAUAUAUUUUGAUACAAAGUUUAUUUUUAUUGGAAAUGUUACUAUAAUUUUCUAAAAAAAGUUUGACAAAAAAACAAACGAUUUAUAAUAUAGAGGGAGUAUUUAAUAGUGACAUGAUGAUAAUUGCAUUGAUGGAGUCCAGCUCUAUUGCAUCAUGUUAGUUAAGUACUUUCUUUAGUCAAAAACAUUUGACGUUGGAAAAACUAACCUCAGUUUUCGCUACAUCAUAUAAGUUUGAUUAGAGAAAGUACAGUAAUAUCUUUGUUUUUGUCACUAAUUAACCGGUAUAUUCAGCUUGUUUUUGUCGCUUGCUGAAGUUAAAAACUAAACUUUCCUCUACUGGGUACGGGCAUAAUCCUGACAUUUCAAUUUGUAACUGCAUUAUUUGUAUUAAGAGGAACUAAUGAAGCAUGGAAGGUGGGGUGGGGUCCCUAACCGAACUAGUAGUAAAUUUGAGUUUGAGCAUUGUGGUACUCAAAUUAGAUAACUGCUCCUUAUUAACUACAAUCCAAAUUUAAAUUGUCAAACUUAAUUCUAAGUUGAUUUUGUGGUUUUCUCAUUGUUCUUUAUUUUCCAUCAUUAGCUUUCAAAAUGUACAAAUAUAAAGGUUUUACCUGUAUAGAAUUUUUAAUUAAUUAAUUCAUGUUUCUACAGUUCAUCAGCCACAGCUUUCUUUGUAUCCUUCAUUUAUUCAUGAUAUGGACAUAUAGACAAGAUGUCAAUUCUUUAAAACUGCGGCUCACUUUUCGCAUUGGCUUAAUCUUCUAGCUAAGCUGCUAGUUGUAGUUGGUGUAUUAAACUCAAUAAAUAUAACACUUCUGCUAAUAAUUUCCAUAUGCCUGAUCUCCGUUUUUUUACCAAUGACAUCUCUUUAAUUGUAACAUUAUUGUUGGCUUCUUGCGUGAACAGAAAACACCAAAUUAACUUAUAUUUAUCCUGGUGGUCUCUUCCAAGGGGUACCUGAAAGAAAGAUCGAUCCAGUUGGAUGAGCUAGAAAAGCACCCGGGACAGGUACGUACCCAGCUGCACUGUAUCAGUACCAAGAAGAGUCAGCCGCUUGUUGUCCCUGCACGAACCUGACCCAUCAUCACUCAUCAUCAUCGUCAGCAUUCAGCAGCAAUGCAAUGCGAGCAGCAG